This 449-nucleotide ribosomal RNA is filed under the name uncultured bacterium. Its description in RNAcentral is "bacterial SSU rRNA". It matches the Rfam family "Bacterial small subunit ribosomal RNA", at positions 335 to 799 of the family's 1533-position model. The record is from RNAcentral.
ACUCCUACGGGAGGCAGCAGUAGGGAAUCUUAGACAAUGGGCGCAAGCCUGAUCUAGCGAUGCCGCGUGUGUGACGAAGGCCUUAGGGUCGUAAAGCACUUUCGCCAGGGAUGAUAAUGACAGUACCUGGUAAAGAAGUCCCGGCUAACUCCGUGCCAGCAGCCGCGGUAAUACGGAGGGGACUAGCGUUGUUCGGAAUUACUGGGCGUAAAGCGCGCGUAGGCGGAUUAGUUAGUCAGAGGUGAAAUCCCAGGGGCUCAACCCUGGAACUGCCUUUGAUACUGCUAGUCUUGAGUUCGAGAGAGGUGAGUGGAAUUCCGAGUGUAGAGGUGAAAUUCGUAGAUAUUCGGAGGAACACCAGUGGCGAAGGCGGCUCACUGGCUCGAUACUGACGCUGAGGUGCGAAAGUGUGGGGAGCAAACAGGAUUAGAUACCCUGGUAGGAUAGCG